AUCUGCGGCCAUACUAUCCUGAACACACCCAGUCCCGUCUGAUCUCAGAAGCUAAGCAGGUUCAUGCCUGGUUAGUACUUGGAUGGGAGGCAGCUCAGGAAUACCGGGUGCCGUAGCCU
This 119-nucleotide ribosomal RNA is filed under the name Podarcis muralis (Common wall lizard). Lineage: Eukaryota; Metazoa; Chordata; Lepidosauria; Squamata; Lacertidae. The record is from RNAcentral.